UCCCUGGUGGCUCAGAGGAGCAUCUGCCUGGAAUGCGGGAAACCCAGGUUCAAUCCUGGGCUGGGAA
This 67-nucleotide transfer RNA is filed under the name Ovis aries (sheep). It matches the Rfam family "tRNA". From Rfam's summary of the family: Transfer RNA (tRNA) molecules are approximately 80 nucleotides in length. The record is from Rfam by way of RNAcentral. Lineage: Eukaryota; Metazoa; Chordata; Mammalia; Artiodactyla; Bovidae.